GAUGAAGAACGUAGCGAAAUGCGAUAAGUAAUGUGAAUUGCAGAAUUCAGUGAAUCAUCGAAUCUUUGAACGCACAUUGCGCCCGCCAGUAUUCUGGCGGGCAUGCCUGUCCGAGCGUCAUUUCAACCCUCGAACCCCUCCGGGGGGUCGGCGUUGGGGAUCGGCACUUACCUGCCGGCCCCGAAAUACAGUGGCGGUCUCGCCGCAGCCUCUCCUGCGCAGUAGUUUGCACACUCGCACCGGGAGCGCGGCGCGUCCACGGCCGUAAAACAACCCAAACUUCUGAAAUGUUGACCUCGGAUCAGGUAGGAAUACCCGCUGAACUUAAGCAUAUCAAUAAGCGAGGA
This 347-nucleotide unclassified non-coding RNA is filed under the name soil metagenome. Its description in RNAcentral is "partial contains 5.8S ribosomal RNA, internal transcribed spacer 2, and large subunit ribosomal RNA". The stretch from base 1 to 120 matches the Rfam family "5.8S ribosomal RNA", at positions 35 to 154 of the family's 154-position model. The record is from RNAcentral.